Molecule: ribosomal RNA, 977 nt
Filed under: Lactobacillus acidophilus
Lineage: Bacteria; Bacillati; Bacillota; Bacilli; Lactobacillales; Lactobacillaceae
Description: bacterial SSU rRNA
Rfam family: Bacterial small subunit ribosomal RNA
Source: RNAcentral
GUCGAGCGAGCUGAACCAACAGAUUCACUUCGGUGAUGACGUUGGGAACGCGAGCGGCGGAUGGGUGAGUAACACGUGGGGAACCUGCCCCAUAGUCUGGGAUACCACUUGGAAACAGGUGCUAAUACCGGAUAAGAAAGCAGAUCGCAUGAUCAGCUUAUAAAAGGCGGCGUAAGCUGUCGCUAUGGGAUGGCCCCGCGGUGCAUUAGCUAGUUGGUAGGGUAACGGCCUACCAAGGCAAUGAUGCAUAGCCGAGUUGAGAGACUGAUCGGCCACAUUGGGACUGAGACACGGCCCAAACUCCUACGGGAGGCAGCAGUAGGGAAUCUUCCACAAUGGACGAAAGUCUGAUGGAGCAACGCCGCGUGAGUGAAGAAGGUUUUCGGAUCGUAAAGCUCUGUUGUUGGUGAAGAAGGAUAGAGGUAGUAACUGGCCUUUAUUUGACGGUAAUCAACCAGAAAGUCACGGCUAACUACGUGCCAGCAGCCGCGGUAAUACGUAGGUGGCAAGCGUUGUCCGGAUUUAUUGGGCGUAAAGCGAGCGCAGGCGGAAGAAUAAGUCUGAUGUGAAAGCCCUCGGCUUAACCGAGGAACUGCAUCGGAAACUGUUUUUCUUGAGUGCAGAAGAGGAGAGUGGAACUCCAUGUGUAGCGGUGGAAUGCGUAGAUAUAUGGAAGAACACCAGUGGCGAAGGCGGCUCUCUGGUCUGCAACUGACGCUGAGGCUCGAAAGCAUGGGUAGCGAACAGGAUUAGAUACCCUGGUAGUCCAUGCCGUAAACGAUGAGUGCUAAGUGUUGGGAGGUUUCCGCCUCUCAGUGCUGCAGCUAACGCAUUAAGCACUCCGCCUGGGGAGUACGACCGCAAGGUUGAAACUCAAAGGAAUUGACGGGGGCCCGCACAAGCGGUGGAGCAUGUGGUUUAAUUCGAAGCAACGCGAAGAACCUUACCAGGUCUUGACAUCUAGUGCAAUCCGUAGA